GUCCCCGUAGCUCAACGGAUAGAGCAGAGGUUUCCUAAACCUCAGAUCUCAGUUCGAUUCUGAGCGGGGAUA
This 72-nucleotide transfer RNA is filed under the name Patescibacteria group bacterium. RNAcentral's name for it is "tRNA-Arg". It matches the Rfam family "tRNA". Rfam says of the family: Transfer RNA (tRNA) molecules are approximately 80 nucleotides in length. The record is from RNAcentral.